RNAcentral lists this ribosomal RNA (389 nucleotides) under Picozoa sp. RNAcentral's name for it is "partial small subunit ribosomal RNA". It matches the Rfam family "Eukaryotic small subunit ribosomal RNA", at positions 582 to 975 of the family's 1831-position model. The record is from RNAcentral. Lineage: Eukaryota; Picozoa.
AUUCCAGCUCCAAUAGCGUAUAUUAAAGUUGUUGCAGUUAAAAAGCUCGUAGUCGGAUUUUGGCAUCACGCCGAACUGUCUGCCGAUUGGUAAGUACGGUUUGGCGGGUGCUUCCUUCCGGAGGCUCGUUCCCUUCUUCAUUGAAGGGUUCGUUGGUUCCGGGUCUUUUACUUUGAGAAAAUUAGAGUGUUCAAAGCAGGCCUAUGCUCUGAAUAGGUUAGCAUGGAAUAAUAGAAUAGGACUUUGGUUCUAUUUUGUUGGUUUCUAGGACCGAAGUAAUGAUUGAUAGGGAUAGUUGGGGGUGCUAGUAUUGAGCGACCAGAGGUGAAAUUCUUGGAUUCGCUCAAGACUAACUUAUGCGAAAGCAUUCACCAAGGAUGUCUUCAUCG